AACGAACGCUGGCGGCGCGCCUAAUACAUGCAAGUCGAGCGAGAAGACGUAGCAAUACGUUUGUAAAGCGGCGAACGGGUGAGGAAUACAUGGGUAACCUACCCUCGAGUGGGGAAUAACCAGCCGAAAGGUUAGCUAAUACCGCGUACGCUCCUUGGACUUCGGUUCAGGGAGGAAAGACGAUACCGUGGGUAUCGCGCUCUUGGAUGGGCUCAUGUCCUAUCAGCUUGUUGGUGAGGUAACGGCUCACCAAGGCUUCGACGGGUAGCUGGUCUGAGAGGACGAUCAGCCACACUGGCACUGCGACACGGGCCAGACUCCUACGGGAGGCAGCAGUAAGGAAUAUUGCGCAAUGGGCGAAAGCCUGACGCAGCGACGCCG
Molecule: ribosomal RNA, 381 nt
Filed under: uncultured bacterium
Lineage: Bacteria
Description: bacterial SSU rRNA
Rfam family: Bacterial small subunit ribosomal RNA
Source: RNAcentral